Molecule: ribosomal RNA, 468 nt
Filed under: uncultured bacterium
Lineage: Bacteria
Description: partial 16S ribosomal RNA
Rfam family: Bacterial small subunit ribosomal RNA
Source: RNAcentral
GACGAACGCUGGCGGCGUGCUUAACACAUGCAAGUCGAACGGAAAGGCCCUGCUUUUGUGGGGUGCUCGAGUGGCGAACGGGUGAGUAACAAGUGAGUAACCUGCCCUUGACUUUGGGAUAACUUCAGGAAACUGGGGCUAAUACCGGAUAGGAGCUCCUGCUGCAAGGUGGGGGUUGGAAUGUUUCGGCGGUUGGGGAUGGACUCGCGGCUUAUCAGCUUGUUGGUGGGGUAGUGGCUUACCAAGGCUUUGCCGGGUAGCCGUCCUGAGAGGGUGACCGGCCACAUUGGGACUGGGAUACGGCCCAGACUCCUACGGGAGGCAGCAGUGGGGAAGAUGGCACAAGGGGCGGAAGCCUGAUGCAGCAACGCCGCGGGCGGGAUGACGGGCUUCGGGUUGUAAACCGCUUUCGCCUGUGACGAAGCGUGAGUGACGGUAAUGGGUAAAGAAGCACCGGCUAACUACGUG